Molecule: long non-coding RNA, 1143 nt
Organism: Anser cygnoides (Swan goose)
Lineage: Eukaryota; Metazoa; Chordata; Aves; Anseriformes; Anatidae
Source: Ensembl
CGGGGCUCCCGGUGCUGCCUCACGGCCCCGCUGCGGCCGGGUCCCCGGUGCGGCCCCGGUGCGGCCGUGAGGGCGGCUGGGGGGGGCAAAGCCGGGGACCCCCCCCUCCCCGCUACCGGGGGGGAAGGCGGGGAGGGGGCACCGGGGGGGCCCUCACGGUGGGUCCGGUGUGGGCAGCCCGAGAGCGAGCGGCUCCGGUGAGCGGCGUGAGCUCCGGUCGCUGGGAGAGGGGCACGUGGGGUCACCGGGUGCUACGGGACCCCCGGGCUCAACCUCACCGGGCUCCGCGGGACCCCCCGGUGCUCACCGGGUGCUACGGGACCCGCCGCCGCCCCCAGCCCCCGCUCUGCUCCCCCCGACGGAACCGUGCCGACACCGGAGCCGUUUGGCCCCGGAGCCUUCGUAGGGGCCCGGAGGCCGCGGGGCUGUGGCGGGGUUUGGGGAGAAGCGGCCGGCCCUCGCCGCAGUGUGGGGCCGCUGGGACGGGCACCGGUGGCCCCUGGGGGGGGGACGGGGGCUGAGACACGAAGCAGGGGUGCAGGAGGCGGCAGCCGGUUACCGGCAAGGGCUGGCCCGGUACCGGUACCGGUCCCGGUUCCUGUCCCUGGCCUGCUCUGGCCUCGUGCACGGGACACGAAGCGGGGCCCCAAACGCCACCCAGUGCCACCCUCCGUCCCCACCCGCCUCCUUGGCCAGCACUGCCAACUGGUCCCAACUGGGAUGUCACCUCCGCCACUGCUAACUGGUCCCAACUGGGAUGUCACCUCCACCAUGGUCCCAAAGCUGCCAUCGCCCCCCGGCACCGGCACCGGCUGCUGUGCGAGGCUGGGCCAGGGGGCUCAGCGGGGCAGGACCCCCGGGGACAGGGGCAGGGGGGAGCAGGCGCCCGGGCAGAGCCCCCCGGUGCCCCGCAGGCGCCGGCUGACGUUAUCUGCCAGCGUUAUCUGCCAGCGUUAUCUGCCACCGCCUCCUCCCACGUGCCGCGAGCGGCGCUGCGCACGCUCGUCCCCCUCCUCUCCGAAGCCGCUUUUAACGGAGGGAGUUGAGAAAACUUCCCUCUUACGGCACAUCUCUCACCCAGGUGCUUAAUUACCGUUGUCCCAGGGAAACGUCAGCGUGACUCAGAGACGCUUUCCCAUUAGG